UACGUAGGGUGCGAGCGUUGUCCGGAAUUAUUGGGCGUAAAGAGCUCGUAGGCGGUUUGUUGCGUCGGCCGUGAAAACCUGCAGCUUAACUGUGGGCCUGCGGCCGAUACGGGCAGACUUGAGUUCGGUAGGGGAGAUCGGAAUUCCUGGUGUAGCGGUGAAAUGCGCAGAUAUCAGGAGGAACACCGGUGGCGAAGGCGGAUCUCUGGGCCAUUACUGACACUGAGGAGCGAAAGCCAGGGGAGCAAACGGG
Molecule: ribosomal RNA, 253 nt
Filed under: uncultured bacterium
Lineage: Bacteria
Description: partial 16S ribosomal RNA
Rfam family: Bacterial small subunit ribosomal RNA
Source: RNAcentral